GAUACCCGCUGAAUUUAAGCAUAUCAAUAAGCGGAGGAAAAGAAACCAACAGGGAUUGCUAUAGUAACGGCGAGUGAAGCAGCAAUAGCUCAAAUUUGAAAUCUGGCGUCUUCGACGUGCGAGUUGUAAUUUGUAGAGGAUGCUUCUGAGUAACCACCGACCUAAGUUCCUUGGAACAGGACGUCAUAGAGGGUGAGAAUCCCGUAUGCGGUCGGAAAGGUGCUCUAUACGUAGCUCCUUAGACGAGUCGAGUUGUUUGGGAAUGCAGCUCUAAAUGGGAGGUAAAUUUCUUCUAAAGCUAAAUAUUGGCCAGAGACCGAUAGCGCACAAGUAGAGUGAUCGAAAGAUGAAAAGCACUUUAGAAAGAGAGUUAAAAAGCACGUGAAAUUGUUAAAAGGGAAGGGAUUGCAACCAGACGUGCUCGCGGUGUUCCGCCGGUCUUCCUGACCGGUCUACUCGCCGCGUUGCAGGCCAGCAUCGUCUGGUGCCGCUGGAUAAGACUCGAGGAAUGUAGCUCCCUCGGGAAAAUUAUAGCCUCCUUGUGAUUGCCAGCGAGCGCCGGGUUCNGAGGUACCGGCGGNUUAAGGCUUNGUA
RNAcentral lists this ribosomal RNA (594 nucleotides) under Cladosporium sp. RNAcentral's name for it is "partial large subunit ribosomal RNA". It matches the Rfam family "Eukaryotic large subunit ribosomal RNA", at positions 21 to 531 of the family's 3401-position model. The record is from RNAcentral. Lineage: Eukaryota; Fungi; Ascomycota; Dothideomycetes; Cladosporiales; Cladosporiaceae.